Cucurbita moschata (crookneck pumpkin) is the source of this 587-nucleotide long non-coding RNA. RefSeq lists it as uncharacterized. NCBI's taxonomy places the organism in Eukaryota, Viridiplantae, Streptophyta, Magnoliopsida, Cucurbitales, Cucurbitaceae. The record is from RefSeq and is a predicted model, not a curated record. The transcript is spliced from 2 exons.
UUGGCACAGAAAGUAAGGCAGGCCGUGGAAGGUAGGUGUAAAGGAGUAGAUACAGCUUGUAAUUUGGAAACCGACUAAAGUCGACGACCCCACAACGCCAUUACUGCCCGCUCAGUACACUCUUCAUCUUCAAGCCUCUGUCUCUCUCUCUGUCAAUCCUCAUUCCUCUGGGCCCCGUAUUACCAAUCUCCUUCUCAACUUCAAUUUCAAGUUGAAAAUGGGGAGCAAAGCACCAAGCUGGGCUGAUCAGUGGGGUUCGGGAGAUUAUGGAGUCGAAGACGAUGACAACACGGCGAUGACGAAGAAAGGGAGCAGCAAUGGCAAUAGUAGCAAGAAGAUGGCAGAUGUAAAGGCAGCAGCCUCAGCUGGAUUUGUGAAGGCCAAGUCUGCUGCAGCAGUUGGUGCUCAAAAAGUGAAAUCUGGAACUUCAGUAGGCAUCAAAUGGGUCAAGAAUCAGUACCAGAAAAAGGUCUCCAAAUGACUCAAUAUGCUUGAAUUCUCCCUUUUGAACACUUUUUUUUUUCUUUAACAUAAAUUGUAGUCUGGAUAUUUUUGUAGUUCUGUGAAAACAAACCCAAUUUCCUGCA